GAACAAACUACCAAUUAACGAGCGACAAUUCAGGGGCAGAGAAUAGGAACAAAAUAGAAGGCUGCCUCUGAAAGGUACUUGGAAGCAAAGGUGUAUAAGAUUCUGCCCUCUGCUCUGGGAGCCCACGAUCCACUGAAGAGCUAUGUGAGAGACCCAGGGUGAGAUAUUUAACCUCACCGACUUUUUUGAAGAAGAUGAUGAGGAAGAUCUUCCAUUUGCUGCUUCAUCUCUGUGUAUUCGGUGCAAAUGUUUAACACCUAUAGAGAUGUUUAACACCUGACACCGUGUUGGUGCUAUAUCUUGGCCACCGCUAUUGCCAUGGAAAUUGUUUGGCAACUAUAACGCAACAAACAAAAAAGGACUUUGAAUCACAUGACCAAUUUCACAUUUUUAUGCAUUGAGCCUUUUUAUACAUUAAUUAUUGAGUUCAUUUGUCACUGUAUUUCUGCAGUCAUAUAAGUUCU
Molecule: non-coding RNA, 464 nt
Organism: Microcebus murinus (gray mouse lemur)
Lineage: Eukaryota; Metazoa; Chordata; Mammalia; Primates; Cheirogaleidae
Source: RefSeq, a predicted model, not a curated record